RNAcentral lists this ribosomal RNA (1029 nucleotides) under Triticum aestivum (bread wheat). RNAcentral describes it as "partial small subunit ribosomal RNA". Lineage: Eukaryota; Viridiplantae; Streptophyta; Magnoliopsida; Poales; Poaceae. The record is from RNAcentral.
AUGCAGCCUUCGGUGGAUACCGGAUCGCUUGCGCCCACAGACUCGGUGGCCACCAGUGCAUCCAAUGCAGGCGUGGCCACACGUGACUCCAUGGGAUCCUAUGCGCCGAUGCAUGCAGCAGAUUCGUUCGGAUCUUCUGCGGCUGAUUCUCCUGUGCGCCAACCAGCUUCUGAGCGUACACAACCAGCAACAUCUACACGGGUUAUGGCCCGUUUACAAAAAGGUAUAAGGAAUCCCAGAAUUCGUACUGAUGGCACUAUACCAUAUGUCAUGUUGUGUAUCUCAGGUGAACCAACAACGUUGAAUGAGGCACUUGAUGAUCCGAGAUGGAAGAAAGCAAUGAAUGAAGAAUAUUUUGCGCUUAUGAAAAACAAGACCUGGCAUCUUGUGCCUAAUCAGAAAGGUAAAAAUAUUAUUGAUUGCAAAUGGGUGUAUAGGAUAAAAAAGAAGGCAGAUGGAUCCAUUGACAGGUACAAGGCACGUUUGGUUGCAAAAGGUUUUAAACAACGCUAUGGUAUAGAUUAUGAAGAUACCUUUAGCCCUGUUGUGAAAGCUGCGACUAUAAGACUUGUUUUAGCUAUUGCUGUAUCCAGGGGCUGGAGUUUGAGACAGCUAGAUGUACAGAAUGCGUCCUUGCAUGGCGUUCUGGAAGAGGAAGUUUACAUGAGACAACCACCCGGAUAUGUAAGUAAGAAAACACCACAUUAUGUGUGUAAGCUUGACAAGGCAGUCUAUGGGUUGAAACAGGCACCUAGAGCAUGGUACUCUAGGUUGUGCUCGCAGUUAAGAUGUCUUGGUUUCAUUGCAUCAAAAGCUGACACAUCUCUGUUCAUUUAUAACAAGGCAAAGGUAGUCAUUUUUGUGCUUUUAUAUGUUGAUGACAUCAUUGUUGCAAGUUCCUCACAAAAUGCUACUAAUGCCCUUCUGCAUGACUUGAGCUCAGAAUUUUCUUUGAAAGAUCUAGGAGAUUUACAUUUCUUCUUAGGUAUUGAGGUCAAGAAAACCCAAGAUGGCAUAGUACUGAAUUAA